This is a non-coding RNA of Rhipicephalus microplus (southern cattle tick), 73 nucleotides long. Lineage: Eukaryota; Metazoa; Arthropoda; Arachnida; Ixodida; Ixodidae. The record is from the annotation of a RefSeq genome assembly.
GCCGAAGUAGCUAUAAUAGGAGAGCAUUAGACUGAAGAUCUGAAGGUCCUUGGUUCGAUCCCGGGUUUCGGCA